Molecule: ribosomal RNA, 122 nt
Filed under: Pachypsylla venusta (hackberry petiole gall psyllid)
Lineage: Eukaryota; Metazoa; Arthropoda; Insecta; Hemiptera; Aphalaridae
Source: RNAcentral
GCCAACGAUCAUACCACGUUGAAUACACCAGUUUCCGUCAGAUCACUGAAGUUAAGCAACGUCGGGCGUGGUCAGUACUUGGAUGGGUGACCGCUUGGGAAUACCACGUAUCGUUGGCUCUU